This 440-nucleotide ribosomal RNA is filed under the name uncultured bacterium. Its description in RNAcentral is "partial 16S ribosomal RNA". It matches the Rfam family "Bacterial small subunit ribosomal RNA", at positions 338 to 795 of the family's 1533-position model. The record is from RNAcentral.
CCUACGGGUGGCAGCAGUGGGGAAUAUUGCACAAUGGGGGAAACCCUGAUGCAGCGAAGCCGCGUGAGUGAAGAAUUAUCUCUGUACGGUAAACUCUAUCAGCCGGGAAGAAAAUGACGGUACCUGACUAAGAAGCCCCGGCUAACUACGUGCCAGCAGCCGCGGGAAUACUUAGGGGGGAAGCGUUAUCCGGAUUUACUGGGUGGAAAUGUAGCUUAGACGGCAGCACAAGUCUGGAGGGAAAUCUCGGGGCUUAACCCCGGAACUGCCUUGGAAACUGUGCGGCUGGAGUGCAGGAGGGGUAAGCGGAAUUCGUAGUGUAGCGGUGAAAUGCGUAGAUAUUAGGAGGAACACCGGUGGCGAAGGCGGCUUACUGGACUGUAACUGACGUUGAGGCUCGAAAGCGUGGGGAGCAAACAGGAUUAGAUACCCGGGUAGUC